Cucumis melo (muskmelon) is the source of this 590-nucleotide long non-coding RNA. RefSeq lists it as uncharacterized. The record is from RefSeq and is a predicted model, not a curated record. Lineage: Eukaryota; Viridiplantae; Streptophyta; Magnoliopsida; Cucurbitales; Cucurbitaceae. The transcript has 4 exons.
UCCUCCUCUCUUCUUUAACUUUGAAAUCUUCUAACCCUAAAUUCUACAGCCACCAAUCAAAUUUUCUUGCUUUCAUUUCCUAUCCUCGUAGAUUAUUUUUUCCAUCGACGAUUUGAAGAUUUACUAUGGCCGGUAAAGGAGAAGGUCCGGCGAUCGGAAUCGAUCUUGGAACCAAGUACUCUUGCGGAAUGGAAAUGGCCGAAAUGGAAAUGGAAAUGGAGGAAUGCUCCUUUGUUGUCUCUUCAGACCCUCACAGAAACCAAGCAAGAGAUUCUCAAGGGUGUUAAUCUUGUUGUUUACGAAGGAGAGUAGGUUCACGCCAUCAUGGGAAAGAAUGGUUCUGGAAAAUGCACAUUUGCAAAGAUAAUUGAAGUCAUAUCGGGUUGAAAGCUAAGCGAUUGUGCAGAGAUUGCCAAGCGACCGUUGAAAAUUGAAGAUUGAGAAGGCAUUUAAGAUUUUUAAUUAUUUAAUUCUUGUAUUAGAAUAUUUUUUCAUGUACUAUUGUAGAAUGUAUAUACAUAAUAUUAAGAUUUUAUUUUGUGUAUAAAAGACAAAUAUUAUAGUUUCUAACAUAAUAUGAAUUUCAUUGA